CAGCCGCCGCGGUAAUACGAAGGGGGCUAGCGUUGCUCGGAAUUACUGGGCGUAAAGGGAGCGUAGGCGGAUCGUUAAGUUGGGGGUGAAAGCCCGGGGCUCAACCUCGGAACUGCCUUCAAUACUGGCGAUCUUGAGUAUGAGAGAGGUGUGUGGAACUCCGAGUGUAGAGGUGAAAUUCGUAGAUAUUCGGAGGAACACCGAUGGCGAAGGCAGCCCCCUGGGCCAACACUGACGCUCAUGCACGAAAGCGUGGGGAGCAAACAGGAUUAGAUACCCGCGUAGUCCCUGUCUCUUAUAC
RNAcentral lists this ribosomal RNA (301 nucleotides) under uncultured bacterium. Its description in RNAcentral is "partial 16S ribosomal RNA". It matches the Rfam family "Bacterial small subunit ribosomal RNA", at positions 509 to 807 of the family's 1533-position model. The record is from RNAcentral.